CCUACCUCUAACCAGUCUCCUGCUCGCGUACGCAACCCGCGCGCCUGAUCUCCCUGAUCCCUCCCUGAUCUGGUCCAUCUCGAACCGCCACGAGACCUCCUCGACCACCUCUUCCGAUUUCUGCACCAAGCACUCGGUUUCCCGUUCAAGAUCGAGCACACGGACCUCACAAAAACUCCGCCGACCGAGCUUCCUUCCAUGGCCAAACCCCGGCAACUAUUGCCCGAAGCGUGAGGAGUAGAAAUAUCAGGAUUGUGAGUGCGAAGAACUUCAUCAAAUGUACCAGAUUUUAUACGACGAGUGAGUGAUACGAUGUAGGGUUAUGAUGUCUAUACUCGACAUUUGCCUGUGGUGUUGAUGGAUUUCAUGGAGAUUUAUUUGCUUUUCUGCUGUAUUUUUGUUAUGAAGCUAGCCUUGAGCUACACAGGUAUGUAAUGUGUAAAUUCUGGAUCUACGAUGUAAUAUUAUGACAUGUGG
RNAcentral lists this ribosomal RNA (477 nucleotides) under Triticum aestivum (bread wheat). RNAcentral describes it as "partial small subunit ribosomal RNA". The record is from RNAcentral. Lineage: Eukaryota; Viridiplantae; Streptophyta; Magnoliopsida; Poales; Poaceae.